GAUGAACGCUGGCGGCGUGCCUAAUACAUGCAAGUCGAGCGAACAGACGAGGAGCUUGCUCCUCUGACGUUAGCGGCGGACGGGUGAGUAACACGUAGAUAACCUACCUAUAAGACUGGGAUAACUUCGGGAAACCGGAGCUAAUACCGGAUAAUAUAUUGAACCCUAUGGUUCAAUAGUGAAAUUCGGUUUUUCUGUCACUUAUAGAUGGAUCCGCGCCGCAUUAGCUAGUUGGUAAGGUAACGGCUUACCAAGGCGACGAUGCGUAGCCGACCUGAGAGGGUGAUCGGCCACACUGGAACUGAGACACGGUCCAGACUCCUACGGGAGGCAGCAGUAGGGAAUCUUCCGCAAUGGGCGAAAGCCUGACGGAGCAACGCCGCGUGAGUGAUGAAGGUCUUCGGAUCGUAAAACUCUGUUAUUAGGGAAGAACAAAUGUGUAAGUAACUAUGCACGUCUUGACGGUACCUAAUCAGAAAGCCACGGCUAACUACGUG
RNAcentral lists this ribosomal RNA (497 nucleotides) under uncultured bacterium. Its description in RNAcentral is "partial 16S ribosomal RNA". It matches the Rfam family "Bacterial small subunit ribosomal RNA", at positions 28 to 507 of the family's 1533-position model. The record is from RNAcentral.